UACAGGGGGUGCAAACGUUGCUCGGAAUCAUUGGGCGUAAAGCGCACGUAGGCGGUUCGUUAUGUCGGAUGUGAAAGCCCUUGGCUUAACCGAGGAAGUGCAUCCGAAACCGGCGAGCUAGAGUACGAAAGAGGAUCGCGGAAUUCCCGGUGUAGAGGUGAAAUUCGUAGAUAUCGGGAGGAACACCGGUGGCGAAGGCGGCGAUCUGGGUCGAUACUGACGCUGAGGUGCGAAAGCGUGGGGAGCAAACAGG
RNAcentral lists this ribosomal RNA (253 nucleotides) under uncultured bacterium. Its description in RNAcentral is "partial 16S ribosomal RNA". It matches the Rfam family "Bacterial small subunit ribosomal RNA", at positions 524 to 776 of the family's 1533-position model. The record is from RNAcentral.